UAUUAUCGUAAAAAAAUGAGUGAUUCGAGUGAGGAAGAUGAUCUAACGCCUGUGGAUGUUGCACUUUCCUCGCUAUAGCACCAGGCACUGCCAGCGCCCAACAUUUGCUCCUAGAAUUGACUAUCAGCACAUCUUUCAUUCUGCUGCUUCUAUGCCAGUUACGCCCGCUAUACAACAGUCUGAGGUGCCUACCAUCAUCAACAACAUAUGUACUGCAGAUUCUUCUGUAUUUGCAGAACAUAAUUAUAGUGUGAUGAGUCGUUCGAAAAGAAAGACAUUAGAUGA
Molecule: long non-coding RNA, 285 nt
Organism: Cydia strobilella
Lineage: Eukaryota; Metazoa; Arthropoda; Insecta; Lepidoptera; Tortricidae
Exons: 3
Source: RefSeq, a predicted model, not a curated record